GGAUAUAUGAGUGAUAGUCUCAAAGAGCUCAGACAUUCCUCUGCAAACACAGUGACCACUGCUGCACAGAAUCAGAUCCGGUAAUCCGGUUUUAUACAGAGAUCCAAAAUAUCAGUGGACAGAUCUGUUACUACGUAAAACUGCGAACAGUAAGAAAUGGAGCUCCUGACAACCACCCUGGUCAUCGUUCUUCUUACAACAACAGCGUCAGCUAAGCCAAUGGGCUUAAGACGGCAUCAUGAUGCUGACAUCACUGAAAAUAACUGGAGACAUGGGUGGCUGCAUGAGAAUCGAGAAUCCAGUGAGUCUCACAGCGAAUCCUCGGAAAGUCAGUCUUCUGAGGAAAGUCGUUCUUCUGAGGAAAGUCAGUCUUCUGAGGAACUUCUCACCACUAAAGGGACCACGGAGGUUGUGCCGACUGACACCAUGACAACUGCUUCCAUGACAGGCAUCACUUCUGGAGAUGGAAGUACGCUCGCCCCCGAACCGGGCACAAUUGUGUUAAAUACAACACUUGUGAUGGAGACAACGCCCCAGCCAGAAAUACUGAGCACACCUGGAAAUGUCACCCAACCAUGUAAUGCAACUCAGUGUUUUACAGAUGUGAUUCCAACAGCAGUUCCAAUCACAAACAGGGGAGACAAUUAGGCUACAGUUAAACAACAUGUAACCAUACUUGUAUUAAAGGUCCUUUCAUAAAUGUUCUGCUUGGGAUUGAUGUCGGCUGGCUUCAUCCACUUUAAAACACCAUAGAUCUAAUCUAAUCUUUUCUGGUGAUAAGUUUACAUUUAAGAACAUAAUAUGUAAGAAUGGGGAGUUUAAUACAUACAUCCAACUUGGAUUGGUAUUGCAGAAUGAAUGUAAUAGACUAAAUUUUACAGUAACUCAAGGAACUGAGAAAGGUAAAUUUGGCUACACCCACUUAGUUUCAAACCAGUUUGGGAAACCAGAGACAGAGAUUUAAAGGAGGGUUUGUGUAUGUGUAGGAAAAGAAUUGGAUAAUAGUCUAAAGAAUGCGAUGUGGUGAUAAUAUUACAAUAAUGCCUGGCUAAUCUGAUUGAAUUUACAGGAGCAGGAGGCAGUCAGUUGGAAAAGACUAUGACUAUAAACAUCAAUAAAUGUAUGAGGACAUCAUCAAAUCAAACAAAAUUUUAAAAGUAAAAUUUCAGAGCUUGGAAAGGCCCACUUGUAGAAGUUUUCUUCAAACACAAUUCAGUGUAAUGCAUGAUUUAUGCCUCUGCGUCAAUUUGACACCGUAGCUAUCGCAACAGCCCAGACAUUACGCAGACCCUACGUUAACAGAAACCACAAGAGCUGCUGUGAUUGGUCCGCUUGGUAGCAGCGUGGUUACGUUUCUCAAUCUCCGCAAUUUACAAACUGAUUGUCUCCCGCAGAAGCAUAAACCGCACUUAAUGAGGAUAUAUUUAUCUGUACAUUCAUAGGUUCUCAGUACCAAGAACAGCAGAUAGCUAACUCAGCAUUUUUUUCGCCAGUAUAUAAACAAAUAAACAUUCCACAAACCAUUUGACGAUCCUCUCCUGGUGAUAUUUUUCUAAAAAUGCAACUAAAUUUUUAUCUUUGUAUGGCAUAAUCCAUUUUAUCAAAUUUUACACAGGGAAAGAAUAUAUAUAUAUCGAAAUAUGACAAAAUAUUAAGAUGUUGUUCUAUAUGGGUUUUAAGUUCAAGGAAGAACAUAAAGUUAGAGGGAAAAAAAGAGUUUAGAGAAAGUUAAAAAGGAGCCACUGAUACCUACUGACAUAGUUUUGUUAACUGAGAUGUGUACUUUAAUAUGAUCAUAUACUGUAUGUGUGCGAGGAUCAUCAUUCUGCUUAAACAUACAUUCACAUUACUAUUCAUUCACUGUUUUGUAAGUGACAUGCUGAUCUGCAUUGGUUUAGUCUUACAAUCACUGUAUGCCAAAAAUAGUUAUUCAGUUUUUCUAUAAAGAUCUGAUUAUAUACUGUUUAUAUGCUUAUUUUGUGACUGAGGUGAUACUUUUUUUUUUCAAAGCAAGUCUAAUAGUUGUUAUUCUGCAUAAGGUACCAUGAGUAUGUAUCCCACAGCAAAUAUGUUGGCAAGGGUGUGUCAUGUUUGUCUUGUCGGUUCUUGCCUGUUGUCCGUACAUGCUGACAAAUAGGCACAGUUGUUGUCACAGUGGGUUUGCUUUAAUUAUAGGUUAUAAAUUUUAAUUUUCUCAAAUUAAGCGUAGCAUAGACAGCCAAAGAACAAUACCUUAAGGUUGCUGGUUUGUUCUGUAUUAAAUAGUGGUGUGUCUCAUUUUGCUAACUGGAUCUAAUAUGUAUUAAUGUAAGUGAUUGUAACGAGUGACGAUUGUUAAGUGUUGUGUAACAGCAUUGGCUUGUCUACAAAAGAAAAAUAAACGAUUUGAAAGUGUCA
Long non-coding RNA from Mugil cephalus (flathead mullet), 2397 nucleotides. RefSeq lists it as uncharacterized. The transcript is spliced from 3 exons. NCBI's taxonomy places the organism in Eukaryota, Metazoa, Chordata, Actinopteri, Mugiliformes, Mugilidae. The record is from RefSeq and is a predicted model, not a curated record.